GAUGAACGCUAGCUACAGGCUUAACACAUGCAAGUCGAGGGACCGGCGCACGGGUGAGUAACACGUAUCCACCCUGCCCUUUACUCGGGGAUAGCCUUUCGAAAGAAAGAUUAAUACCCGAUGUAAAGGAGCGGGAUGCGUUCCAUUAGGUUGUUGGUGAGGUAACGGCUCACCAAGCCUUCGAUGGCUAGGGGUUCGGAGAGGAAGGUCCCCGACAUUGGAACGGGGACACGGUCCAAACUCCUACGGGAGGCAGCAGUGAGGAAUAUUGGGAAAUGGGCGUUAGCCUGAACCAGCCAAGUAGCGUGAAGGAUGAAGGCUUAUGGGUCGUAAACUUCUUUUAUAUAAGAAUAUGUAUUAUAUGAAUAAGGAUCGGCUAACUCCGUGCCAGCAGCCGCGGUAAUUC
This 406-nucleotide ribosomal RNA is filed under the name uncultured bacterium. Its description in RNAcentral is "partial 16S ribosomal RNA". It matches the Rfam family "Bacterial small subunit ribosomal RNA", at positions 28 to 526 of the family's 1533-position model. The record is from RNAcentral.